GUGUGCAAAGGAGAAACCACAACGACCACAGGGCUUUCAUUUCAUCCCAUCGUCUUAACGACCAUUGACCCAGCUGAUAAAUUAAACUUUUCCAGAGUCCAGUAGAAAGGACGGCAAACACAUUUUUUUUUCGAUCAACAAAUGCCUUGAUUGCAGUUCUUGGUUCGUCUUUUAAAAUUAAUGCGCUGUCGAUUUAUUUUACAACAGACGCGACAGGGGAAUCUAUACAUCGCUGCAGUUAUCUUUGAGGGAAACCAAUUCAACCCAAGCACUCUUUGAUAAAGUGAUGAUUACGUAACUGCAGAUCAUCUGUCCAUCAUCGUAUAAAGCCCGCCCUGGCAAUUUGAUUGGUCCGACUAAUUCUGAACCGAUCAUAAUUACUCCUCAAUGGAUUGUGGAUCGUUUAGGCGUGGAAGCAUAAAGUCAAGAGAGAAGCCCAUAGAGAGUCAUAAAGUUGAUCCUGCUGCUCAUAGACAGCUCCUACUCAAGCUCUUAGUCUCUGCGAGAUUCGGAAGCGAUUGAUUCAGAUUCCUCUUGGCACAGCUACUAGAAGACUUAAAACUGUCAGACAGGUUGCUCACAUCACUUCUACGUCGUCGAGCUCAGUUUGAGCCUGUGCAGUACGCUCAGCCAUCAGGAAAUCGAACUUCCCGACCAAAAAAUGUUGUUGGCGGGGUUCGGGCUGACAUCCAGGCAAGUGCUUAAUUAGGGUUGGAGCUAAACUCUGCAGGAAAGUGGCCCUCAAGGACCAAACUUGCCUAUCCCAGCUUCAGGGGCUUUGUACGUACGUAGGCCUACUUAUAA
Non-coding RNA from Pimephales promelas (fathead minnow), 804 nucleotides. The record is from RefSeq and is a predicted model, not a curated record. Lineage: Eukaryota; Metazoa; Chordata; Actinopteri; Cypriniformes; Leuciscidae.